GGGGGGGGAUGCAGCACGUCCUUUAUUUAUAAAAGCCGGAGGGUUGGGGGGUGGGGGGGAGCCCGGGGGUGGCCCCGCUCCUGGGGAGCCACCGGCGGGGCUCGGGGGGGGCGGGGGGCGGCUGUCACGUGCGGGCGUUGCGCUCUGUCUCGGCCAAGCACUCCCGCACCAGCGCCCGCGCGUGGAUGAUCCCCCGCUUGAGCCGCUCCAUGGCGCUCUUGCUGCCGGCGUAGGUGGGCCGGAUCUCCCUGCCCAUCUCCUCGAUGACAGAGAGAAGGUCGCUGUAGGUGCUCUGCGAGCCCGGAGCGCCGGGCGGCUUCAUGGCCUGCACAUAGCCCAUGGAGGGCGGCCCGAAGUCGUUGAAGAGCGGGCGGAAGGCGGACGGCGAGGGGACGCUGGGAGCGGCGGCCGUGGCGGCGGGCCCCGGGGCGGGGCUGGCGCUGGGGGCGGGCGCGAUGGGUUUGUAGGACAUCCCCGCACCGCUCCCGAGCGGCUCUCCGUCCCGAGCGGCGGCCGCCGUGUGGGGAAGACGGAAG
RNAcentral lists this long non-coding RNA (536 nucleotides) under Gallus gallus (chicken). Lineage: Eukaryota; Metazoa; Chordata; Aves; Galliformes; Phasianidae. The record is from RNAcentral.